This 273-nucleotide ribosomal RNA is filed under the name uncultured prokaryote. RNAcentral describes it as "partial 16S ribosomal RNA". It matches the Rfam family "Bacterial small subunit ribosomal RNA", at positions 524 to 798 of the family's 1533-position model. The record is from RNAcentral.
UACGUAGGGGCUAGCGUUAUCCGGAAUUACUGGGCGUAAAGGGUGCGUAGGCGGUCUUUCAAGCCAGAAGUGAAAGGCUACGGCUCAACCGUAGUAAGCUUUUGGAACUGUAAGACUUGAGUGCAGGAGAGGAGAGUGGAAUUCCUAGUGUAGCGGUGAAAUGCGUAGAUAUUAGGAGGAACACCAGUAGCGAAGGCGGCCCUCUGGACUGUAACUGACGCUGAGGCACGAAAGCAUGGGGAGCAAACAGGAUUAGAUACCCUGGUAGUCCCU